AGUUUGGCCCGACAGUUGGUGCUGCGAUCAAAUUGCGAAAAAUAUUUGAAAUUUUGUGUUAUGGCAAAACAACGUUUGUGGGGUCAGCUAGUUUUAUAUAAAUAAAUAUAUUUUUAACCGACUUCCAAAAAAGGAGGAGGUUCUCAAUUCGACUGUAUUUUUUUUUUUUUUUUUUUUUUUUUUUUUUUUUUUUUUUUUUUUUUUUUUUUAAUUUUUUAAAAAAAAAAUUUUUUUCAAAUUUUGAAAAAAAAAUUUUUUUU
RNAcentral lists this unclassified non-coding RNA (260 nucleotides) under Melitaea cinxia (Glanville fritillary). RNAcentral describes it as "misc RNA ENSMCXG00005020093.1". Lineage: Eukaryota; Metazoa; Arthropoda; Insecta; Lepidoptera; Nymphalidae. The record is from RNAcentral.